RNAcentral lists this ribosomal RNA (253 nucleotides) under uncultured bacterium. RNAcentral's name for it is "partial 16S ribosomal RNA". It matches the Rfam family "Bacterial small subunit ribosomal RNA", at positions 524 to 776 of the family's 1533-position model. The record is from RNAcentral.
UACGAAGGGUGCAAACGUUGCUCGGAAUUACUGGGCGUAAAGCGCACGUAGGCGGCUUUGUAAGUUAGAGGUGAAAGCCCGGGGCUCAACCCCGGAAUUGCCUUUAAGACUGCAUCGCUUGAAUCCAGGAGAGGUGAGUGGAAUUCCGAGUGUAGAGGUGAAAUUCGUAGAUAUUCGGAAGAACACCAGUGGCGAAGGCGGCUCACUGGACUGGUAUUGACGCUGAGGUGCGAAAGCGUGGGGAGCAAACAGG